UAUGGAAUAUGAGAGGAAAAUUGAACUGCAGCUUUCAAUGUCGCUGUUUUUUGUGUUGGAACACCCACUGACACUGAAGAGUCACAUGAAGACACAAGGCUUAGAAUAUGAUCACAUUCUAGAGGCUCAAUAUGGACCAGACAAAAUUGAAUACCAUGGAUAUGUCAAGAAAGACUGUGCAGGAGAGCGUCCAUUUUCGUCAACACUGCCUGGCGUUGGUGACCCCCUGAGUGCUUCCGCGUAGGUGGCAUGUUGAAGUCUUGGAGGACUGAUGGAGGGUGUCAGCUGACUCCCCGCCGGCAGCAGCAGGAGCCGGGACGGCGGGGGCCGGCGCAGCAGCGACGAUGUGCAGCGGCGGCGCAGACACCCUGGGUCUCAGCAGUUCAAGGGUCUUUACUACCAUCCCCGCCAGUAGCCGCUUACGUCGCAUUGAGAGAUGCUGACCGUGCCUCGUGAAAUGCCUCCGGCCGAUGUUAUUGAAGUUUACCACGCGGAUGUUGUGGACAGAGAAGGAACCUCUUUCUAGGAACUUCAAGAGAAUUAAAGGUUAAACUCAUUUCUCAUUCAAAUUAUUGAAUCUUUUGAUUUGAUCUAUGUCAUUAAUGACCUUAAAACUAAAAUAGAUACAUAUGCUCAUAGUAACACCUCUCAAAAUGUGUAACAAUUCAUAUAAAAAUGGUAAGGCAUUUAUGUAGUUUUUUUAGGUUUCUUUGUUUAAUAUUUAUAAGAUAUCUUUUAGUUUAGUUUCUAUAAAUGAUCCUUUAUUAACAUGUACAGUUAGUAUAAAAAUUAUGUAACUAACUAAUUAAUUACUAGUUACGCCUAGGUAUGUUCUUUAACACAUUGACUGUGUAAGAUGCCAUAGUGCGGGCUGGUUAUUGGGGCUACUCAAGAUCACUCUGUAUAGAAUUUUAGUGAAUUAUUAAUUCAAGUAUUUUAUGUAACAUAAUGUUUUGCUGAUAAUAAAUUUAAUCAUAGUUAUGUUAUCGAACUUUUAAUUUUGGUCAAAUACUAUAUUGGUACAUACUAAUAUGUAAUUUUUAUUUUUUAUGAUCUUCAAUAUACAGGUCUUACUCUAUUUUCUAUCUCCAUAGUCUAAAUUAUAAGUGUAGAAAUAAUUAUGAGGCUUAAGUAACAGUGUCAAAUUUAUACACAAAUUUAUUGUCAAUAUUCCUUUAAACUUAUAUUAUUUACGUUAAAUCUUACGUUGACAUGUGUGAUUGUAAAUCUCAAUUUGUAAUUUAUUUGUGCUGUGAGCAUUGUCAAUGGAACUCAGAGAAACAAUAAAAACUAUUAGUUGAAACUAUCUCAACAGCAAACUGUAAUUGUAUUUGUUAUAUCUUUUACUAGUUAUUUAUAUUCUUUGAAAAGUUUGGUAUAUUGUGGAUUUUAAUGAACCGUGUUAGUACAGCUUACACAUAAAAAUUACUGAAACAAAAAAAGUUUUACAUUAAAUUAAUACUUUAAUACAAAUAAUAAACAGAAAGAUGCCAAUGAAUUGUAAGCUAUUGAUUUGAUUAUACCUAAUAAAAAAUAUAGAACUAAAAAUAAACCACUGAUUAUUAGUGUUUAAAGUAAGACCUAGAUUACGUUUAACUAGCACUUAUAGAGUAUGCAGAAAUAAUUCAAGAUUGGCAUUAGCCAAAACUUUCCUUGAUAUUAUAAAGGUUUUAAGAAACAUGUUGAGAAAUUAUCAGGAUUUUUCUAUCAUCGUCAAACCCAAGCAUAAACAUUACAUGUAAAAAUAUGAAUAGAGUAUUGUUAUUAAUUAUUUUAAAAGGUUACUAUAAAAUCCAAUAGUAUACGAUAAUUAUAUUUAUUAGUAUAUAGAAAUAUCAUUGUAAAAUAACGACCUUUUACAGUAUGAUGUUAUCAUUGCUGUAAUUGUAGUUUAGAGAUUUAUGUAAUUUGAAAGAACUAAGUAUUUGUAAAAUAAACCAAUGUUAUUUAUUAUAAAUGGA
RNAcentral lists this unclassified non-coding RNA (1961 nucleotides) under Homalodisca vitripennis (glassy-winged sharpshooter). RNAcentral describes it as "uncharacterized LOC124371707, transcript variant X1". Lineage: Eukaryota; Metazoa; Arthropoda; Insecta; Hemiptera; Cicadellidae. The record is from RNAcentral.